This 381-nucleotide unclassified non-coding RNA is filed under the name soil metagenome. RNAcentral's name for it is "partial contains 5.8S ribosomal RNA, internal transcribed spacer 2, and large subunit ribosomal RNA". The stretch from base 1 to 120 matches the Rfam family "5.8S ribosomal RNA", at positions 35 to 154 of the family's 154-position model. The record is from RNAcentral.
GAUGAAGAACGCAGCGAAAUGCGAUAAGUAAUGUGAAUUGCAGAGUUUUGUGAAUCAUCGAAUCUUUGAACGCACAUUGCGCCCCUCGGUAUUCCGACGGGCAUGCCUGUCCGAGCGUCGUUUGCAACCCAUCGAGUAACACUUCUCGGUCUUGGGCGCCGUCCGCCCCCUCGGGGGAUCGGACGGGCCCCAAAGCCCUCGGCGGCCCCGGGUGCCCCGCCGGAGCGUCUUCGAAAGCAAUCGCUCCGGCGCGUCGCGCCCCGGGACCACGCCGGCACCGCGGCCCCCCCCCCCAAAGGGGUCGCACCCCCAACACCAAACGUCUGACCUCGGAUCAGGUAGGGCUACCCGCUGAACUUAAGCAUAUCAAUAAGCGGAGGA